UACGUAGGGUGCAAGCGUUAAUCGGAAUUACUGGGCGUAAAGCGUGCGCAGGCGGUUAUGUAAGACAGAUGUGAAAUGCCCGGGCUUAACCUGGGAACUGCAUUUGUGACUGCAUGGCUAGAGUGUGUCAGAGGGGGGUAGAAUUCCACGUGUAGCAGUGAAAUGCGUAGAGAUGUGGAGGAAUACCGAUGGCGAAGGCAGCCCCCUGGGCUAACACUGACGCUCAGGCACGAAAGCGUGGGGAGCAAACAGG
RNAcentral lists this ribosomal RNA (253 nucleotides) under uncultured bacterium. Its description in RNAcentral is "partial 16S ribosomal RNA". It matches the Rfam family "Bacterial small subunit ribosomal RNA", at positions 524 to 776 of the family's 1533-position model. The record is from RNAcentral.